UUUAUCGGAGAGUUUGAUCCUGGCUCAGGACGAACGCUGGCGGCGUGCCUAAUACAUGCAAGUCGAGCGGACAGAUGGGAGCUUGCUCCCUGAUGUUAGCGGCGGACGGGUGAGUAACACGUGGGUAACCUGCCUGUAAGACUGGGAUAACUCCGGGAAACCGGGGCUAAUACCGGAUGGUUGUUUGAACCGCAUGGUUCAGACAUAAAAGGUGGCUUCGGCUACCACUUACAGAUGGACCCGCGGCGCAUUAGCUAGUUGGUGAGGUAACGGCUCACCAAGGCGACGAUGCGUAGCCGACCUGAGAGGGUGAUCGGCCACACUGGGACUGUGGCCGAUCACCCUCUCAGGUCGGCUACGCAGACACGGCCCAGACUCCUACGGGAGGCAGCAGUAGGGAAUCUUCCGCAAUGGACGAAAGUCUGACGGAGCAACGCCGCGUGAGUGAUGAAGGUUUUCGGAUCGUAAAGCUCUGUUGUUAGGGAAGAACAAGUGCCGUUCAAACAGGGCGGCACCUUGACGGUACCUAACCAGAAAGCCACGGCUAACUACGUGCCAGCAGCCGCGGUAAUACGUAGGUGGCAAGCGUUGUCCGGAAUUAUUGGGCGUAAAGGGCUCGCAGGCGGUUUCUUAAGUCUGAUGUGAAAGCCCCCGGCUCAACCGGGGAGGGUCAUUGGAAACUGGGGAACUUGAGUGCAGAAGAGGAGAGUGGAAUUCCACGUGUAGCGGUGAAAUGCGUAGAGAUGUGGAGGAACACCAGUGGCGAAGGCGACUCUCUGGUCUGUAACUGACGCUGAGGAGCGAAAGCGUGGGGAGCGAACAGGAUUAGAUACCCUGGUAGUCCACGCCGUAAACGAUGAGUGCUAAGUGUUAGGGGGUUUCCGCCCCUUAGUGCUGCAGCUAACGCAUUAAGCACUCCGCCUGGGGAGUACGGUCGCAAGACUGAAACUCAAAGGAAUUGACGGGGGCCCGCACAAGCGGUGGAGCAUGUGGUUUAAUUCGAAGCAACGCGAAGAACCUUACCAGGUCUUGACAUCCUCUGACAAUCCUAGAGAUAGGACGUCCCCUUCGGGGGCAGAGUGACAGGUGGUGCAUGGUUGUCGUCAGCUCGUGUCGUGAGAUGUUGGGUUAAGUCCCGCAACGAGCGCAACCCUUGAUCUUAGUUGCCAGCAUUCAGUUGGGCACUCUAAGGUGACUGCCGGUGACAAACCGGAGGAAGGUGGGGAUGACGUCAAAUCAUCAUGCCCCUUAUGACCUGGGCUACACACGUGCUACAAUGGACAGAACAAAGGGCAGCGAAACCGCGAGGUUAAGCCAAUCCCACAAAUCUGUUCUCAGUUCGGAUCGCAGUCUGCAACUCGACUGCGUGAAGCUGGAAUCGCUAGUAAUCGCGGAUCAGCAUGCCGCGGUGAAUACGUUCCCGGGCCUUGUACACACCGCCCGUCACACCACGAGAGUUUGUAACACCCGAAGUCGGUGAGGUAACCUUUUAGGAGCCAGCCGCCGAAGGUGGGACAGAUGAUUGGGGUGAAGUCGUAACAAGGUAGCCGUAUCGGAAGGUGCGGCUGGAUCACCUCCUUUCU
RNAcentral lists this ribosomal RNA (1583 nucleotides) under Bacillus velezensis. RNAcentral describes it as "bacterial SSU rRNA". It matches the Rfam family "Bacterial small subunit ribosomal RNA". The record is from RNAcentral. Lineage: Bacteria; Bacillati; Bacillota; Bacilli; Caryophanales; Bacillaceae.